This 624-nucleotide ribosomal RNA is filed under the name uncultured bacterium. RNAcentral's name for it is "bacterial SSU rRNA". It matches the Rfam family "Bacterial small subunit ribosomal RNA", at positions 218 to 839 of the family's 1533-position model. The record is from RNAcentral.
GAUGAGGAUAGGCUCGCGUGACAUUAGCUAGACGGCGGGGUAACGGCCCACCGUGGCGACGAUGUCUAGGGGUUCUGAGAGGAAGGUCCCCCACACUGGAACUGAGACACGGUCCAGACUCCUACGGGAGGCAGCAGUGAGGAAUAUUGGUCAAUGGCCGGAAGGCUGAACCAGCCAUGCCGCGUGAAGGUCAGUGCCCUAUGGGCGUUAAACUUCUUUUGUGCGGGAGCAAUAAGGGCCACGCGUGGCCUGACGAGAGUACCGUACGAAUAAGCAUCGGCUAACUCUGUGCCAGCAGCCGCGGUAAUACGGGGGAUGCAAGCGUUAUCCGGAUUUAUUGGGUUUAAAGGGUGCGUAGGCUGUGAGGUAAGUCAGCGGUGAAAUGCCCCCGCUCAACGGGGUGAAGUGCCAUUGAUACUGCCUUGCUGGAAUGCGGAUGCCGUGGGAGGAAUGUGUGGUGUAGCGGUGAAAUGCAUAGAUAUCACACAGAACACCGAUUGCGAAGGCAUCUCACGAAUCCGCGAUUGACGCUGAUGCACGAAAGCGUGGGUAUCAAACAGGAUUAGAUACCCUGGUAGUCCACGCUGUAAACGAUGAUGACUAACCGUCGGCGAUACACAGUCG